This 253-nucleotide ribosomal RNA is filed under the name uncultured bacterium. RNAcentral's name for it is "partial 16S ribosomal RNA". It matches the Rfam family "Bacterial small subunit ribosomal RNA", at positions 524 to 776 of the family's 1533-position model. The record is from RNAcentral.
UACAUGGGGUGCAAACGUUGCUCGGAAUUAUUGGGCGUAAAGCGCGCGCAGGCGGUCCUUUAAGUCUGAUGUGAAAUCCCACGGCUCAACCGUGGAAGGGCAUUCGAAACUGCGAGGCUGGAGUCCUGGAGAGGAAAGUGGAAUACUCGGUGUAGAGGUGAAAUUCGUAGAUAUCGAGUGGAACACCGGUGGCAAAGGCGGCUUUCUGGACAGGUACUGGCGCUGAGACGCGAAAGCGUGGGGAGCAAACAGG